UGCCGAUGUUUAGCAUUUAGGUGACUUCCAUGUGACCCAAAGACUCCAAUACCAAAUUUGUAUGACUACCCUAAACAAGCAGAUCACAUCUCUUUUUUAUUGGAUUCAAUUGAAUAUUAUAUUUUACAUCAUGUUUGGAUUAACACCUUUCAUGUCAGGUGACACUGAAUCCAAACCAUUGCCACAGGCUGUUCUCACAUUACCAGGCAAUAUGUGGUCUUAGAUUGGAUAUAUAACACAUAGCCAUGCAACAUGUUGUGUUCUGUUGUGUUCUGUUGUGUUCUGGCAGCACAGCAAAGCCAAACAACAAUGGAGGAGAGUGUGUGCAUGUGAGACAUUUUAGAAGACAGUCAAGUUCACCUGACAGUCAGAUGCAAGGUGAGUCAAAUCCGCCACAAAUCAGAAUUGACCACUGCUGUUAGUAAUGUGAAAGCAGCCAAAUUGUGCUACUAUCGCAGACAAAUCAGACAAAUUUUAGAGCUUUUAUUUUGUUAUUAGGGCCACCUGGUGGUGGACGUUGUUGUUGCCUGGUUUGACCAAAAAUUGGUGGUUCCAGUUUGUAUGUUCCACUCGUGUGUGUGUGUGUGUGUGUGUGUGUGUGUGUGGGUGGGUGGGUGGAUUCUCUGCAGGUGACAGACAUGACAGACAUGCAGAUUAGAGAUGUUAACCCAACUGUGUUUUUAGAAGCUUUAUCCUCCAGGUGUGCUCCAGCUGACAUAGGGCGAGAGGCGGUGUACAUCCCGGACAGAUCACAGGGCACCAUGACAAACUUCAUUUAAAAAAAUUCCACUACAAACUAUUUCAGGUUCUCACAACAGAAAUGACUCAGGCCUGUCAAACUGUAUAUUUGUUAUUAUUUAAUUGUUUAUUGUUUAAGUCGCAUACAGUAUAAUCUCUCAUUAGUUUCUAUGUUGCAGAAGUUUGUGGACUGAACAUCUGGAUUUUGUUGACCCUUUGGUCGGUGUUUAGGUUGGUGCGUUGUGGCUGAUCCGAUGAGAUUUGACCACCCGAUCUCCUUUGACCCGUGAUGUACUACAGUAUUAUAAGGUGAAACUUCAUUUCUAAAGGAGUUAUUAAGGGCCACAUCAGGGCUUCUCACACAGUUGAUAUGGGAAAAACAAAUCUUUCAAGUGCUUUUAAAAGUAAAAUAAAAUGUAUUAGAAUGAUUUAAAUAAAUAUAUAAUUAAAAUAAAUUGCUUUGCUUUUUGAUAUUGAUAAAAAACUACCCCCUUCCAGCACAGCCCAGGGUGUUAUUUAAAGCAUGUUAUGUAAAACUUUAAUGCAAGCUGAGGGAUUGUGAGAGUUUAAAAUCUGUUUCGAAGAUGGCGUUAGGGGAAAAGUUUACGAGUGUUUAUGUUUCUCAACUCCAGUCCAGGGAUUAUGUAACCAAAUGCUAGACAUGCUGAAAAGGUAAUUUCUUACAUCUCCAUUGUUGUUUGUUUCUUUGUAGGAGGUGUGCUUGUCCUCAUGAAAAUAUACAAAAAUAGGCAUUUUCUUUUUAAAAGGUAGACAUGGUCUCUGCAAGUUGUUGUUCAGCAUUUCUUGUUGCUCACUUGGGAUGAAAGGGAGCAUAAAUAGCACAGGGAGGAUGGGGACAGGAGGUGAGACACAGCAUGUCAAGGGGGCGAUUACAGAUUUUAUGAACACUCAGUACAUUUCUGCAGAUUUCUGCAGGUCCAAGUUAAUGCUUUUUUUGUAAACAAAACGAAAAACAGAGAAGGAAGGGCUUUGACUUGAAUGAUUGACGUUAGUCACAUAUUGAGAACUGACAAGAAUAAACCCAUGCCCAAACAUC
Solea senegalensis (Senegalese sole) is the source of this 1795-nucleotide long non-coding RNA. RefSeq lists it as uncharacterized. NCBI's taxonomy places the organism in Eukaryota, Metazoa, Chordata, Actinopteri, Pleuronectiformes, Soleidae. The record is from RefSeq and is a predicted model, not a curated record. The transcript has 2 exons.